GUGGGGAAUAUUGCACAAUGGGGGAAACCCUGAUGCAGCGACGCCGCGUGAGCGAAGAAGUAUUUCGGUAUGUAAAGCUCUAUCAGCAGGGAAGAAGAAUGACGGUACCUGACUAAGAAGCACCGGCUAAAUACGUGCCAGCAGCCGCGGUAAUACGUAUGGUGCAAGCGUUAUCCGGAUUUACUGGGUGUAAAGGGAGCGCAGGCGGUGCGGCAAGUCUGAUGUGAAAGCCCGGGGCUCAACCCCGGUACUGCAUUGGAAACUGUCGUACUAGAGUGUCGGAGGGGUAAGUGGAAUUCCUAGUGUAGCGGUGAAAUGCGUAGAUAUUAGGAGGAACACCAGUGGCGAAGGCGGCUUACUGGACGAUAACUGACGCUGAGGCUCGAAAGCGUGGGGAGCAAACAGGAUUAGAAACCCCUGUAGUCC
RNAcentral lists this ribosomal RNA (426 nucleotides) under uncultured bacterium. RNAcentral's name for it is "partial 16S ribosomal RNA". It matches the Rfam family "Bacterial small subunit ribosomal RNA", at positions 354 to 796 of the family's 1533-position model. The record is from RNAcentral. RNAcentral also lists the same sequence under 1 other name.